GUGUUUUCCCCUUGGC
Molecule: unclassified non-coding RNA, 16 nt
Filed under: synthetic construct
Description: RNA from synthetic construct (PDB 7UNC, chain P)
Source: RNAcentral